RNAcentral lists this ribosomal RNA (445 nucleotides) under uncultured bacterium. Its description in RNAcentral is "bacterial SSU rRNA". It matches the Rfam family "Bacterial small subunit ribosomal RNA", at positions 47 to 481 of the family's 1533-position model. The record is from RNAcentral.
CCUAACACAUGCAAGUCGAACGGUAACAGGAAACAGCUUGCUUUUUCGCUGACGAGUGGCGGACGGGUGAGUAAUGUCUGGGAAACUGCCUGAUGGAGGGGGAUAACUACUGGAAACGGUAGCUAAUACCGCAUAACGUCGCAAGACCAAAGAGGGGGACCUUCGGGCCUCUUGCCAUCAGAUGUGCCCAGAUGGGAUUAGCUAGUAGGUGGGGUAACGGCUCACCUAGGCGACGAUCCCUAGCUGGUCUGAGAGGAUGACCAGCCACACUGGAACUGAGACACGGUCCAGACUCCUACGGGAGGCAGCAGUGGGGAAUAUUGCACAAUGGGCGCAAGCCUGAUGCAGCCAUGCCGCGUGUAUGAAGAAGGCCUUCGGGUUGUAAAGUACUUUCAGCGGGGAGGAAGGGAGUAAAGUUAAUACCUUUGCUCAUUGACGUUACCCG